Small nucleolar RNA from Magnolia sinica, 108 nucleotides. Lineage: Eukaryota; Viridiplantae; Streptophyta; Magnoliopsida; Magnoliales; Magnoliaceae. The record is from RefSeq and is a predicted model, not a curated record.
UAGUCAUGAUGUGGACAUGAAUUCAAGAUAUCCUUGAAUCUCUCCCAACUUUCGAAAAAUGUUUCUUCCUCUUUUGGGGAGAAAUUCGUGAUCGUCCUCCUUAAGGUA